Molecule: microRNA, 22 nt
Filed under: Drosophila mojavensis
Lineage: Eukaryota; Metazoa; Arthropoda; Insecta; Diptera; Drosophilidae
Description: Dmo-Mir-219_3p (mature (co-guide))
Source: RNAcentral
AGGGUUGCAUCUGGGCAUCGCG